RNAcentral lists this long non-coding RNA (221 nucleotides) under Elaeis guineensis (African oil palm). RNAcentral's name for it is "long non-coding RNA (EGUI_LNC052427)". Lineage: Eukaryota; Viridiplantae; Streptophyta; Magnoliopsida; Arecales; Arecaceae. The record is from RNAcentral.
AGUACUGCAAUUACUCUAGACAAUGCAUCAAUAUUUACAAGUUCUAUUUUUGCUUCAGCAAGAGAAUGCAAGCUCGGAACAAAGAAUAAGUAAUGAACAUCCUGCACAUUCCUUUGAACGAGGGAAUGUGGCACUACCUCGACAUCCCCUUGUUAUGUAACAAACUGCACCGAAAUGAUUUUAAUCUUCUUUAUGACAGGAUCCACAACAAACUAACAGCA